This 460-nucleotide ribosomal RNA is filed under the name uncultured Bacillota bacterium. RNAcentral describes it as "bacterial SSU rRNA". It matches the Rfam family "Bacterial small subunit ribosomal RNA", at positions 355 to 831 of the family's 1533-position model. Lineage: Bacteria; Bacillati; Bacillota. The record is from RNAcentral.
UGGGGAAUAUUGCACAAUGGGCGAAAGCCUGAUGCAGCAACGCCGCGUGAGUGAUGAAGGCCUUCGGGUUGUAAAGCUCUGUCUUCUGGGACGAUAAUGACGGUACCAGAGGAGGAAGCCACGGCUAACUACGUGCCAGCAGCCGCGGUAAUACGUAGGUGGCAAGCGUUGUCCGGAUUUACUGGGCGUAAAGGAUGCGUAGGCGGAUACUUAAGUCAGAUGUGAAAUUCCCGGGCUUAACUUGGGAACUGCAUUUGAAACUGGGUAUCUAGAGUGCGGGAGAGGAAAGUGGAAUUCCUAGUGUAGCGGUGAAAUGCGUAGAGAUUAGGAAGAACACCAGUGGCGAAGGCGACUUUCUGGACCGUAACUGACGCUGAGGCAUGAAAGACGUGGGGAGGCAAACAGGAUUAGAUACCCUGGUAGUCCACGCCGUAACGAUGAAUACUAGGUGUGGGGGUUA